Molecule: long non-coding RNA, 560 nt
Filed under: Macaca mulatta (Rhesus monkey)
Lineage: Eukaryota; Metazoa; Chordata; Mammalia; Primates; Cercopithecidae
Description: lncRNA (ENSMMUG00000050965.1)
Source: RNAcentral
CUUUUCCACAGAUUUGUUAGUAAUUCAGGUUGUUUAAAUAAAAUUCCAUUUAAAAAUCAGUGUUGUGAUUCUUCCCCUUCAUUUAUUUCCCAGAUGGUAAAAUUCAGGCCAAGAGAAGAAAGACUGACAUAAAAAAGAAACAACAAAAACAACUCUUGUUAAUGAUGCGGAAUUAAUCUGAAUUCUCUAAAAACCUGCCUCUUUUGGAGAACAAAAGUGAAGUCAAUUUAGAAGAUGCCAGAGCAAAAGAGGAGAUCCACUUUUGUCUCUCAUCCUUAGGUUCCUAAACAAAUAUCUUAGAAGUAAAGAGGACAAAAACAUUUCCUUGGCUCAAGCUAAAUCUAACAUGAAGUGACAUAGAAAUUUGACUACUGUCAUUUAAAAAGAUCCAUCUCAACAGCCAAACAAUGUCAGAACAAAGAAAAUCAAAUUUUCUAGACUGAUCAAAUAAAAUGGAUAGUUGUCAUAUGCCCACUUCUUUUUCCACUCUAUGUAAACAAAGCUAAUUCUAAAUGACAGUGCAAUGUGUAAUCAUCUCUGCAGUCUGCAUACAACUUAAA